This is a long non-coding RNA of Tarenaya hassleriana, 409 nucleotides long. RefSeq lists it as uncharacterized. Lineage: Eukaryota; Viridiplantae; Streptophyta; Magnoliopsida; Brassicales; Cleomaceae. The record is from RefSeq and is a predicted model, not a curated record. The transcript has 4 exons.
AACCCUCUGGGAUCUCAAAUGACUCUACUCCUUUGGAUUCUCUUGGUCAUGAAGCCGAUCAAAGUUCUCCUAGGCUCUCUACCAGAAAAAGCAUACAUCCACCGCCUGCAUUUGGUUCAUCGCCUAAUCUUGAAGCCCUUGCACUUGCAGCAAGUAGAUCCGAAGAUGAUGAGGGUGAAAACUCUGUGCAUGCCAAUUCACUGUAUUCACGGCCCUUGCAUGAGAUAACUUUUUCCACGGAAGACAAGCCUAAACUCCUCUGCCAGUUGACUGCCUUGCUUGCUGAGCUCAGGCUGAACAUUCAAGAAGCACACGCUUUUUCUACAACCGAUGGCUUCUCACUUGAUGUCUUUGUUGUUGAUGGUUGGCCAUACGAGGUACUUCUUGCUUUUUCUUUUACAUCCUGAUA